GACGAACGCUGGCGGCGUGCCUAAUACAUGCAAGUUGAGCGCUGAAGGUUGGUACUUGUACCAACUGGAUGAGCAGCGAACGGGUGAGUAACGCGUGGGGAAUCUGCCUUUGAGCGGGGGACAACAUUUGGAAACGAAUGCUAAUACCGCAUAAAAACUUUAAACACAAGGUUCAAGUUUGAAAGAUGCAAUUGCAUCACUCAAAGAUGAUCCCGCGUUGUAUUAGCUAGUUGGUGAGGUAAAGGCCUACCAAGGCGAUGAUACAUAGCCGACCUGAGAGGGUGGUCGGCCACAUUGGGACUGGGGCCCCGCCCAAGCUCCUUCGGGGGGCAGCAAUAGGGGAUCUUCGGCAAUGGACGAAAGUCUGACCGAGCCACGCCGCGUGAGUGGAGGAGGCUUUCCGAUCGUAAAACUCUGUUGGUAGGGAAGAACGUUAGUGAGAGUGGAAAGCUCAUCAAGUGACGGUACCUACCCAGAAAGGGACGGCUAACUACGUG
This 497-nucleotide ribosomal RNA is filed under the name uncultured bacterium. RNAcentral describes it as "partial 16S ribosomal RNA". It matches the Rfam family "Bacterial small subunit ribosomal RNA", at positions 28 to 507 of the family's 1533-position model. The record is from RNAcentral.